RNAcentral lists this ribosomal RNA (580 nucleotides) under metagenome. Its description in RNAcentral is "bacterial SSU rRNA". It matches the Rfam family "Archaeal small subunit ribosomal RNA", at positions 824 to 1403 of the family's 1478-position model. The record is from RNAcentral.
CCGCCUGGGAAGUACGUACGCAAGUAUGAAACUUAAAGGAAUUGGCGGGGGAGCACCACAAGGGGUGAAGCCUGCGGUUCAAUUGGAGCCAACGCCUGAAACCUUACCCGGAGAGACAGCAGAAUGAAGGUCAAGCUGAAGACUUUACCAGACAAGCUGAGAGGUGGUGCAUGGCCGUCGCCAGCUCGUGCCGUGAGAUGUCCUGUUAAGUCAGGUAACGAGCGAGAUCCCUGCCUCUAGUUGCCACUAUUACACCCUGGUGUAGUAGGGCGAAUUAGGGGGACCGCCGCAGUUAAUGCGGAGGAAGGAAGGGGCCACGGCAGGUCAGUAUGCCCCGAAACUCUGGGGCCACACGCGGGCUGCAAUGGUAACGACAAUGAGUUCCAAAAUCGAAAGAUAGAGGUAAUCCCUAAACGUUACCACAGUUAUGAUUGAGGGCUGCAACUCGCCCUCAUGAAUAUGGAAUCCCUAGUAACCGCGUGUCAUUAUCGCGCAGUGAAUACGUCCCUGCUCCUUGCACACACCGCCCGUCGUUUCAUUGAAGUUUGCCUUUAGCGAGGUGAUGUCUGAUUGGCAUUAU